UGGGGAAUAUUGCACAAUGGGCGCAAGCCUGAUGCAGCCAUGCCGCGUGUGUGAAGAAGGCCUUCGGGUUGUAAAGCACUUUCAGCGAGGAGGAAGGGUAGUGUGUUAAUAGCACAUUGCAUUGACGUUACUCGCAGAAGAAGCACCGGCUAACUCCGUGCCAGCAGCCGCGGUAAUACGGAGGGUGCAAGCGUUAAUCGGAAUUACUGGGCGUAAAGCGCACGCAGGCGGUUUGUUAAGUCAGAUGUGAAAUCCCCGCGCUUAACGUGGGAACUGCAUUGAAACUGGCAAGCUAGAGUCUUGUAGAGGGGGGUAGAAUUCCAGGUGUAGCGGUGAAAUGCGUAGAGAUCUGGAGGAAUACCGGUGGCGAAGGCGGCCCCCUGGACAAAGACUGACGCUCAGGUGCGAAAGCGUGGGGAGCAAAACAGGAUUAGAUACCCUGGUAGUCCACGCUGUAAACGAUGUCGACUUGGAGGUUGUGCCCUUGAGGCGUGGCUUCCGGAGCUAACGCGUUAAGUCGACCGCCUGGGGGAGUACGGCCGCAAGGUUAAAAC
This 554-nucleotide ribosomal RNA is filed under the name uncultured bacterium. Its description in RNAcentral is "partial 16S ribosomal RNA". It matches the Rfam family "Bacterial small subunit ribosomal RNA", at positions 355 to 900 of the family's 1533-position model. The record is from RNAcentral.